RNAcentral lists this ribosomal RNA (868 nucleotides) under uncultured archaeon. RNAcentral's name for it is "bacterial SSU rRNA". It matches the Rfam family "Archaeal small subunit ribosomal RNA", at positions 1 to 878 of the family's 1478-position model. The record is from RNAcentral.
UUCCGGUUGAUCCUGCCGGACCCGACUGCUAUCAGAGUGGGACUAAGCCAUGCGAGUCAACGUAGCAAUACGUGGCAUACGGCUCAGUAACACGUAGUCAACAUGCCCAGGGGACGAGGAUAACCUCGGGAAACUGAGGAUAAACCUCGAUAGGCCAUGAUUUCUGGAAUGAUUCUUGGCUCAAACCUAUAUGGCCCCUGGAUUGGACUGCGGCCGAUCAGGCUGUUGGUGAGGUAAUGGCCCACCAAACCUAUUACCGGUACGGGCUCUGAGAGGAGGAGCCCGGAGAUGGGCACUGAGACAAGGGCCCAGGCCCUAUGGGGCGCAGCAGGCGCGAAACCUCUGCAAUAGGCGAAAGCUUGACAGGGUUACUCUGAGUGAUUUCCGCUAAGGGAAUCUUUUGGCACCUCUAAAAAUGGUGCAGAAUAAGGGGUGGGCAAGUCUGGUGUCAGCCGCCGCGGUAAUACCAGCACCCCGAGUGGUCGGGACGAUUAUUGGGCCUAAAGCAUCCGUAGCCGGUCCUGCAAGUCUUCCGUUAAAUCCAGCUGCUCAACAGAUGGGCUGCGGGAGAUACUACAGGGCUAGGAGGCGGGAGAGGCAAGCGGUACUUUAUGGGUAGGGGUAAAAUCCGCUGAUCCAUAGAAGACCACCAGUGGCGAAGGCGGCUUGCCAGAACGCGCUCGACGGUGAGGGAUGAAAGCUGGGGGAGCAAACCGGAUUAGAUACCCGGGUAGUCCCAGCUGUAAACGAUGCAGACUCGGUGAUGGGUUGGCCUCGCGCCUGCCCAGUGCCGCAGGGAAGCCGUUAAGUCUGCCGCCUGGGGCGUACGGUCGCAAGACUGAAACUUAAAGGAAUUGGCGGGGGAGCA